GCCGUGAUCGUAUAGUGGUUAGUAACAUUGCGUCGUGGAUGCAAUAACCCAGGUUCGAAUCCUGGUCACGGCA
This 73-nucleotide transfer RNA is filed under the name Nematostella vectensis (starlet sea anemone). It matches the Rfam family "tRNA". Rfam says of the family: Transfer RNA (tRNA) molecules are approximately 80 nucleotides in length. The record is from Rfam by way of RNAcentral. Lineage: Eukaryota; Metazoa; Cnidaria; Anthozoa; Actiniaria; Edwardsiidae.